UACUGUCCUGUGCAAUUCUUUGCUAUGAUAUAGUACAACCCUGCGCCUAGCUCGUGACUCCUGCACACACAUAUACAUGUCCUUUGCUUUAUUAAUCAUAUUAAUCUAAAAGAUGAGUGUCUCUCAUGUGUUGAAUGCAGCCCAUCUAGAACAGUAUUAGCAUAAUCAGUCAUCAUUAUAAUGUAAUGAUUACAUAUAUGUCCAAAGAAUGAGUGUUUAUGAUGUUUGAAAUGCAGCCCAUCUAGAAUAGUGUAAGCAGAAUCAGUCAUCAUUAUAAUAUAAUAUUUACAUGUGUCCACUUCACUGAAGAAGAAAUUCUCCAAAAUGCUAAAAGAGGAGAAGAAAAUAUCGCAUAAAACAGUAUUAGCCAUACCUGCAGUUUAUCGAAAAGUGAUUGGUCCUUGGGCAGUCAGAUACAUUUUUAAGCCAAAUAGCUAAUAUUCUCCACAUACAGCAGAAAUUACCAAGCUAUAUCAGAGACUGCAGAGGGAAAUUCUAUGGAUUCAUCCAACUUUUACGAAGUUUUUUGCUCUUUGUGAUACCGACAACUGAUACUACAGCUAGCGUGCUGGCAGUAUAUAACUUUAGUUCCCUCGCAGCCAUGUCUUUGGAAUCUUCAAAUGCAGCUUUCAGUAUCAAAGAAGUCAGUGGAAGUACACAUAUAAUGGUUGUGAAUGAGACUAAAGAAUAGUUUUUUUGAGAAAGAACUAAAGAAUAGUAGAAUGAAUGAGUCUCUCUUCUUUAAGUGACUGUAAAAGAGAGAGGUAGUCGACAUCCACGAGGACUAACCAAGAGCAGAUGCGCCUAGCUAAACAUAUAGAAGAAGCUAAAGAGCUGGAACAGCAAAAAAGAACAGAGUAGGAGAGCAGCUUUAAGUUGCUAGCUAGAAUCGAGAAUUGACUAAAAAGCAGGACAAUCAAGCAACGGUCAAAAGGAACCAUGCAAGGAUAAACUAAACUUGCCAAGCAAUUUGCUCAAAAAACUCAGCUCGGCAGCCAAGUUCAAGUAUAGCUCGUUAUUAACGAGUUAUAAACUAGAGCUUGCUUUUGAGCUUGAUGGUAAGCGAGCUUGAAUAAGCAAGACCCGCAUUGUAGACUUUUUAACAGCUAUUCUUUAUUUCUAGAUCUAAAAUAUAAAAAUGAGAGCUAGGGUUUCAGGUACCUGAUGUACUUGACAAGUGCAAUUACACAAGUUUUUAUUCUCUUCCCACACGGCUUCCUUCCCAAUCUAUAGCAGAAUCCUAAAGCCUUUCCAAUCAACAGCAUUAUCAUUCUUGUUAUCUUUCAUUUUAUCCCUCACGCUUCCCCUUCCAUUUGGAGUCAUCCAUCACAAAUCUUAUGCUGCUGCAGUGCUGCUUUGCCCUCCGCUCACAAUACUGCAUUCAGCUUUUAAAGCCCCUAGUUGACGGUGAUAACAAUAAUAUCAGCCACAAGGUUCCCUUAUUUUUGUACUCUAUCACAAUACUGCAUUCAGCUUUUAAAGCCCCUAGUUGACGGUGAU
Molecule: long non-coding RNA, 1500 nt
Filed under: Nicotiana tabacum (common tobacco)
Lineage: Eukaryota; Viridiplantae; Streptophyta; Magnoliopsida; Solanales; Solanaceae
Description: long non-coding RNA (NTAB_LNC013461)
Source: RNAcentral